CCCCUAGACGUUCUGGGCUGCACGCGCGCUACAAUAAUACGCACAGCGAGUAUCACCGAGCUCGAAAGGGCAAGGUAAACAAUAGAAAGGGUACUGUAAUGGUUAUAGAUCCUUGUAAUUAUUGAUCUUCAACGAGGAAUUCCUAGUAAGUAUGUGUCAUCAUCACGCACUGAUUACGUCCCUGCCCUUUGUACACACCGCCCGUCGCUCCUACCGAUUGAAUGCUCAGGUGAGCCAUUCGGACCUUCAUCAUGCCGGUUUCCGGUUUUGAUGAGGGAAAGUCUUGCGAACCUUAUCAUUUAGAGGAAGGAGAAGUCGUAACA
This 323-nucleotide ribosomal RNA is filed under the name uncultured eukaryote. RNAcentral's name for it is "partial 18S ribosomal RNA". It matches the Rfam family "Eukaryotic small subunit ribosomal RNA", at positions 1470 to 1796 of the family's 1831-position model. The record is from RNAcentral.